CCUCCAGUUCUUGGCAUGCAUGGUAUUGUUUGGUUCUGUGCAUGUGACUUGUAUGGAGGCAGAAUAAGUGCAAACCCUGGUGUUCGGUCUUCGGUACCAGCAGUUUUCCCUCUGCUGGUUCUAGCUUUGCUCACCAGCACAUAU
This is a small nucleolar RNA of Alligator mississippiensis (American alligator), 144 nucleotides long. It matches the Rfam family "Small nucleolar RNA SNORA57". Rfam says of the family: U99 belongs to the H/ACA class of snoRNAs which are thought to guide the sites of modification of uridines to pseudouridines, the target for this family is unknown. NCBI's taxonomy places the organism in Eukaryota, Metazoa, Chordata, Crocodylia, Alligatoridae. The record is from Rfam.